GGGGUGGUGGAGGAGGGAGGGGGUGGUGGAGGAGGGAGAAGGGGUAAUGAAGGUGGAGGAGGGAGAAGGAGGAAGAAGAGGGAGAGGGGGUGAUGGAGAAGGUAGAGGGUUGGUGGAGGAAGGUGGCAGUGGUGUUCCUAACCCUUGAUCUUGGCUUGUUAACCCUUUCUGAGCUUCCCUCUAGUGGGGGGAUGAGGAUCGUCGGUUGUUCCCACAUUUAAGGGCAGAGCCUGGCGGGGGGUGGUGUUGGUGCUCGAGGGUCACGCGCUGGUGGCUUUGCCGCGGUGGUGGCAGCGGUGGAAGAGGCGACACCACUGGAGGCGGCGGAGGGACGGGCCCAUCAACGCUGCAGGCGGGGUGGAUGUGUGCAUCUCCUGGAGCCGGCUGGGACCCCGCAUCGGGCUUUGGUCAAGGAUCUUUCGAAGGGGUAGGAAGACGGGAAACUCAGAAAGUGCUGAAAUCUGGGCACUAGAGUCACAGUGUGUCUGAUUUUUACCUGCAUCCUCACUCCCACUCCAGGUCAUAGCACGUUCCCUGGAUCAGGGUUUCUGUAGUUAAUCAGAGGGCAUCUCCGCCCCCUACCCAAACCCCAUCCCGACAAUAUAUCCUUUUUAUUUCACCUCCUAAACCAGGGGUUGCAAACUGGGAUGCACAUGGGGCCAGGCAGAUGCACAAUGGGUCCAACUCUUACCUGAUUUCAACUAUGCACCAGGCGCUGUCUAUAGUUAUUCAUUCAUUGAAUCCUCACCACGCCCCCUGAACUUGCUACUUGUGAUGACUGUGAUUUUACAGAUAGGGAAACAGGUAGGCAAGGUGAAAGUCGCUUACCCAAGAUCACAUGAGUAGCAAGUGCCAAGUCAGGGUGGGACUCCAGGCAGGUGGCUCCAGAGUCCUGGCUCUUAACCACCGUGCUGUGCUGAGCAGAUGAGCUGUGGGGGUCACCAGGAGCCCCACUAGGGAGAUUUAACGGCUGCCAGGCAGAAUCGCAGACCCUGUGUGGCCAGACUGUCCAAUUUAUUGUCUCAGCCUCCUGAGUAGCUGGGACUACAGGCAUGCACCACCACACCUGGCUAAUUUUUGUAUAUUUUAGUAGAGAUGGGAUUUCACCAUGUUGGCCAGGCUGGUCUCAAACUCCUGACCUCAGGUGAUCCACCUGCCUCGGCCUCCCAAAGUGCUGGGAUUACAAGCGUGAGCCACCUCACCCGGCCUUAAUUUUUGUAUUUUUAGUAGAGACAGGGUUUUGCCAUGAUGGCUAGGCUGGUCUCAAACUCCUAACCUCGGGUUAUCUGCCUGCCUUGGCCUCCCAAAGUGCUGGGAUUACAGGCAUGAGUCACUGCAGCCAGCCCUGAGUUCUUAUUUUCACACCCCUGAAGCUCAGAUCUGGCCCCACAUAAUUUAGUGCAGGGAAGAAUUUUGGUGAAGGGAAGAAGUUUAUUUUGGA
This 1441-nucleotide long non-coding RNA is filed under the name Macaca mulatta (Rhesus monkey). RNAcentral describes it as "lncRNA (ENSMMUG00000054004.1)". Lineage: Eukaryota; Metazoa; Chordata; Mammalia; Primates; Cercopithecidae. The record is from RNAcentral.